Molecule: long non-coding RNA, 237 nt
Organism: Sinocyclocheilus grahami
Lineage: Eukaryota; Metazoa; Chordata; Actinopteri; Cypriniformes; Cyprinidae
Exons: 3
Source: RefSeq, a predicted model, not a curated record
CUUUUGCAACUUGAACUGCUCUGUCAGGUCAAAAUGAACACUUCUGCCUUUUACAGAAGUAGGAUGAGAAACAUAAGGAAGGAAUCUUUGGUGGAAAACAGACUCCCGCGCCCUGAAGCCUUAGCAAAAAGGUGAACAAAAGCUAGCACUACGAAGAAGCGCAUGGUCACGAAAAAAGCGGCAAAUACCCUGUUUACUGUGACUACUAGAGCUCCACUCCAACAGAGACAGACUGUG